GACGAACGCUGGCGGCGUGCUUAACACAUGCAAGUCGAACGGUGAGGCCCUGCUUUUGUGGGGUGCUCGAGUGGCGAACGGGUGAGUAACACGUGAGUAACCUGCCCCUGACUUUGGGAUAACUUCAGGAAACUGGGGCUAAUACCGGAUAGGAGCUCCUGCUGCAUGGUGUGGGAUGGAAAGUUUCGGCGGUUGGGGAUGGACUCGCGGCUUAUCAGCUUGUUGGUGGGGUAGUGGCUUACCAAGGCUUUGACGGGUAGCCGGCCUGAGAGGGUGACCGGCCACAUUGGGACUGAGAUACGGCCCAGACUCCUACGGGAGGCAGCAGUGGGGAAUAUUGCACAAUGGGCGGAAGCCUGAUGCAGCAACGCCGCGUGGGGGAUGACGGCCUUCGGGUUGUAAACCGCUUUCGCCUGUGACGAAGCGUGAGUGACGGUAACGGGUAAAGAAGCACCGGCUAACUACGUG
Molecule: ribosomal RNA, 468 nt
Filed under: uncultured bacterium
Lineage: Bacteria
Description: partial 16S ribosomal RNA
Rfam family: Bacterial small subunit ribosomal RNA
Source: RNAcentral